Long non-coding RNA from Hirundo rustica (Barn swallow), 836 nucleotides. RefSeq lists it as uncharacterized. Lineage: Eukaryota; Metazoa; Chordata; Aves; Passeriformes; Hirundinidae. The transcript has 5 exons. The record is from RefSeq and is a predicted model, not a curated record.
AUGUAUUCAUAUUUCUAGGGGGUGUCAUAUCCAAACCACUGUUCAUCCAAAUUUCCUGUAUGAUCUGCUCCCUGCGCUCAAUCCUUUCGGCCAGUUCCGCUGCCUCUGCUGAGUUAUAACCUGAGUAAGAAGAACUUCUCUUUCUGUGUGGGCUCAAAGUCAGAGCUGUUUCCUUUCCUGAUGAAGGAAUCCUUUUGGGUGUCCUAGCUCCUGUUUGCAGUGGAAGGCCAACAGAUACAUGGGUUCAUACUAAGGGUGCAGGAAGAGACUCGUCAAGCUCCAAACAGGUGCCCAAUAUAAGGUCUCGAUAUUCCGUUCAGGACGUCUUGGAAAAAAUAAGCACAUCGAAAUAGCUCUACAUCCAUUCCGUCUCAAAUCAGGAGAGAUGAAAUGCUGUUUUCAAGUCUUGUUUCUUGGCCCUGGGUUGCUGAGAUGAGUCGACUGGAUAUCCAAGUUCAGUUCAAGUCAGGACACUGUCGCAGUCUACGCGUGCCUCAGCUGCCUCUGCACACUCAUCAAUCACGGGCAGGACUGGCACUGCUCGGUGACAGCACUGUGCGAGGCAGGGACAAUGGGAGAACAAAAAGCCAGGACGGGGUCCCCAUCCCAAGCCAGACAGUGCCCUCAGCUGUAUUUGCACUGCUCCACCAAGGUUGUGACUUCUGCAGAAGCACCUGCCAUGCUGUGCACACAUAAAUAGGCCAAAAACCUGUGGUCUGUGCCCAAUGACUGACAGUGUACAGCUGGACUCUGAAUAUGCCUAGCGGUGCUGGAGAGGCUGUGGAAGUACCUAUAACCCCAAGUGGUACCAGGUAAGGAGAAGAGCCUAACAUAAA